UACAGAGGUCUCAAGCGUUGUUCGGAUUCAUUGGGCGUAAAGGGUGCGUAGGUGGCGCGCUAAGUCAGGUGUGAAAUUUCGGAGCUUAACUCCGAAACUGCAUUUGAUACUGGCGUGCUGGAGGACUGGAGAGGAGACUGGAAUUCACGGUGUAGCAGUGAAAUGCGUAGAUAUCGUGAGGAAGACCAGUGGCGAAGGCGGGUCUCUGGACAGUUCCUGACACUGAGGCACGAAGGCCAGGGGAGCAAACGGG
Molecule: ribosomal RNA, 253 nt
Filed under: uncultured bacterium
Lineage: Bacteria
Description: partial 16S ribosomal RNA
Rfam family: Bacterial small subunit ribosomal RNA
Source: RNAcentral